UACUCCCUGCUGUACACGACAGCUUUGCCCAUAAUACUCCGAUAACUGUAUUUUGGGAGCCCGGGCGUCCGCGGCGGAUUGAAGACCUCCCCUUUCGAGGGACGAAGGGAUCAUGAAUCCGGGGAGAGGGCGUACCCACCUUUGUCGAAAGACGGGGUUGACAGCUGGCAAAGCAUCGAUACGGCGGGGCAACG
RNAcentral lists this small RNA (194 nucleotides) under Oscillospiraceae bacterium. Its description in RNAcentral is "6S RNA". Lineage: Bacteria; Bacillati; Bacillota; Clostridia; Eubacteriales; Oscillospiraceae. The record is from RNAcentral.